GAGGUAUUAUUAUAUAUUUUAGUAUUAUUCUUUUUCGAAGAGUAGGAUUAUUACCUUA
Molecule: transfer RNA, 58 nt
Filed under: Strongyloides procyonis
Lineage: Eukaryota; Metazoa; Nematoda; Chromadorea; Rhabditida; Strongyloididae
Description: tRNA-Glu
Source: RNAcentral